This 468-nucleotide ribosomal RNA is filed under the name uncultured bacterium. RNAcentral describes it as "partial 16S ribosomal RNA". It matches the Rfam family "Bacterial small subunit ribosomal RNA", at positions 28 to 507 of the family's 1533-position model. The record is from RNAcentral.
GACGAACGCUGGCGGCGUGCUUAACACAUGCAAGUCGAACGGAAAGGCCCUGCUUUUGUGGGGUGCUCGAGUGGCGAACGGGUGAGUAACACGUGAGUAACCUGCCCUUGACUUUGGGAUAACUUCAGGAGACUGGGGCUAAUACCGGAUAGGAGCUCCUGCUGCAUGGUGUGGGUUGGAAAGUUUCGGCGGGUGGGGAUGGACUCGCGGCUUAUCAGCUUGUUGGUGGGGUAGUGGCCUACCAAGGCUUUGACGGGUAGCCGGCCUGAGAGGGUGAACGGCCACAUUGGGACUGAGAUACGGCCCAGACUCCUACGGGAGGCAGCAGUGGGGAAUAUUGCACAAUGGGCGGAAGCCUGAUGCAGCAACGCCGCGUGCGGGAUGACGGCCUUCGGGUUGUAAACCGCUUUCGCCUGUGACGAAGCGUGAGUGACGGUAAUGGGUAAAGAAGCACCGGCUAACUACGUG